AAUAAACAAGCCCAUCUUCCACAGUGGGGGCUAAAGAGAUCAGAUAUUCCCUCUUCCUACUCUGUCAGGUAGUGCGAGGGUACUUGACCAAUUGCUUGUUCUUGCUGAGGACUCUGCACCUUGAGGAAGUGUCACUGAGACUGAGAUAGUUGAUAUCUCUGUUGCAUCAUCAACAUUCCAGAAGAAGCAGCUACUUGUUUCCUCUGGCAGCACCACCAGAAGUUCUCACCAAGUUAUUUCUGUGGUGUGACCUCCUUUUCUUUCAUACUGCCUGGAUUCUCAAGGUUCCUGCACAUGAUUUCAGCCUGGAAAUCUCUUGAAGAGGAAGGAAAAAAUCCUUGAGAAAACGUGGCUGUCAGAGCUGCAAAAUCUUCUUUCAUCUUCUCAUGAAUAGAAGCAGUCACCAACCAGGUGAUAGAGGCCCAGUGCAGCAGGUGAUGGAGGCUCAGGUGGUGGAGGCCCGGAGCAGCAAGUGAUGGAGUCCCAGGUGAUAGAGGUCCAGUGCAGCAGCCUGAGAAAACUCAUCCAGCUAGAAAAAGGAGGUAUCCUACUGGACAAAGAAGAGAAUUUGCUAGAUGUGGAAGCAGUUCAGACGAGGAAGGUCACCCCGGUCUUCCGCAGGCAGAUAUUUCCUGGUAUCCGUAUCCUUCUACCACAUGAAGAGCUCACAGGCUACACGGGACGGACAGAUGUAAAUAAAUAUAGAAAUGUGUUAAGAGCUACAGUGGAGGAGCAUGCAAUGGAUGAUUUCAAUGCUUGUCAAAGUAUCUUAAUGUCCCACUUUUAAAAAAUCCAAUAAUACUUUGGGCAUCAUCUGGGGCUUAGAAAAAGAACGUAAAAAGAAGACUGUGAACUUUUUGAAGCACCAUCUUGUUCACCUUUGGAUUCCUAGAGAGAAGUAUAGUACCUGAAUCAUUGUGGAGUGACUACUUACCCUCGUCUCACUGUGUGUCUAGCACAGGGCUAAACAUUUUACACACAGUAUUUCAUUUGAUUCUCAC
Molecule: long non-coding RNA, 1001 nt
Filed under: Equus caballus (horse)
Lineage: Eukaryota; Metazoa; Chordata; Mammalia; Perissodactyla; Equidae
Description: lncRNA (ENSECAG00000041277.2)
Source: RNAcentral